RNAcentral lists this ribosomal RNA (254 nucleotides) under uncultured bacterium. RNAcentral's name for it is "partial 16S ribosomal RNA". It matches the Rfam family "Bacterial small subunit ribosomal RNA", at positions 524 to 777 of the family's 1533-position model. The record is from RNAcentral.
GACAGAGGGUGCAAACGUUGUUCGGAAUUACUGGGCGUAAAGCGUGUGUAGGCGGUCCUGUAAGUCGGGUGUGAAAGCCCUGGGCUCAACCCAGGAAGUACACUCGAAACGGCGAGACUAGAGUCCUGGAGAGGGUCGUGGAAUUCCCGGUGUAGCGGUGAAAUGCGUAGAGAUCGGGAGGAACACCAGCGGCGAAGGCGGCGACCUGGACAGGAACUGACACUCAACUACGAAAGCGUGGGGAGCAAACAGGG